Molecule: ribosomal RNA, 1504 nt
Filed under: Lactiplantibacillus plantarum
Lineage: Bacteria; Bacillati; Bacillota; Bacilli; Lactobacillales; Lactobacillaceae
Description: bacterial SSU rRNA
Rfam family: Bacterial small subunit ribosomal RNA
Source: RNAcentral
UUUUUACGGGCCUUUACCUGCAGUCGAACGACUCUGGUAUGGAUUGGUGCUUGCAUCAUGAUUUCAUUUGAGUGACUGGCGAACUGGUGAGUAACACGUGGGAAACCUGCCCAGAAGCGGGGGAUAACACCUGGAAACAGAUGCUAAUACCGCAUAACAACUUGGACCGCAUGGUCCGAGCUUGAAAGAUGGCUUCGGCUAUCACUUUUGGAUGGUCCCGCGGCGUAUUAGCUAGAUGGUGGGGUAACGGCUCACCAUGGCAAUGAUACGUAGCCGACCUGAGAGGGUAAUCGGCCACAUUGGGACUGAGACACGGCCCAAACUCCUACGGGAGGCAGCAGUAGGGAAUCUUCCACAAUGGACGAAAGUCUGAUGGAGCAACGCCGCGUGAGUGAAGAAGGGUUUCGGCUCGUAAAACUCUGUUGUUAAAGAAGAACAUAUCUGAGAGUAACUGUUCAGGUAUUGACGGUAUUUAACCAGAAAGCCACGGCUAACUACGUGCCAGCAGCCGCGGUAAUACGUAGGUGGCAAGCGUUGUCCGGAUUUAUUGGGCGUAAAGCGAGCGCAGGCGGUUUUUUAAGUCUGAUGUGAAAGCCUUCGGCUCAACCGAAGAAGUGCAUCGGAAACUGGGGAAACUUGAGUGCAGAAGAGGACAGUGGAACUCCAUGUGUAGCGGUGAAAUGCGUAGAUAUAUGGAAAGAACACCAGUGGCGAAGGCGGCUGUCUGGUCUGUAACUGACGCUGAGGCCUCGAAAGUAUGGGUAGCAAACAGGAUUAGAUACCCUGGUAGUCCAUACCGUAAACGAUGAAUGCUAAGUGUUGGAGGGUUUCCGCCCUUCAGUGCUGCAGCUAACGCAUUAAGCAUUCCGCCUGGGGAGUACGGCCGCAAGGCUGAAACUCAAAGGAAUUGACGGGGGCCCGCACAAGCGGUGGAGCAUGUGGUUUAAUUCGAAGCUACGCGAAGAACCUUACCAGGUCUUGACAUACUAUGCAAAUCUAAGAGAUUAGACGUUCCCUUCGGGGACAUGGAUACAGGUGGUGCAUGGUUGUCGUCAGCUCGUGUCGUGAGAUGUUGGGUUAAGUCCCGCAACGAGCGCAACCCUUAUUAUCAGUUGCCAGCAUUAAGUUGGGCACUCUGGUGAGACUGCCGGUGACAAACCGGAGGAAGGUGGGGAUGACGUCAAAUCAUCAUGCCCCUUAUGACCUGGGCUACACACGUGCUACAAUGGAUGGUACAACGAGUUGCGAACUCGCGAGAGUAAGCUAAUCUCUUAAAGCCAUUCUCAGUUCGGAUUGUAGGCUGCAACUCGCCUACAUGAAGUCGGAAUCGCUAGUAAUCGCGGAUCAGCAUGCCGCGGUGAAUACGUUCCCGGGCCUUGUACACACCGCCCGUCACACCAUGAGAGUUUGUAACACCCAAAGUCGGUGGGGUAACCUUUUAGGAACCAGCCCGCCUAAAGGUGGGACAGAUGAAUUAGGGGUGAAAUCGGAAUAAGAUUACAUC